AUGAGUGUUUUGAGCUAGAACUGCCAGGGGCUUGGGAACCCCGAGGCAGUUCGGGAGCUUCGCAGUAUCGUGAAGCUUGAAGGACCCUCCCUUCUCUUUGUAAUGGAAACAAAAAUUAAGGCAAAAAGAGUUGAGGAUUUGAAGUAUAUGCUUGGUUUUGCAGGCAGUUUUGCUGUUGACAGUGUCGUCCUUAGUGGCGGCAUGGUCUUUUUUGGUCCAAAGAUGUGA
This 228-nucleotide ribosomal RNA is filed under the name Triticum aestivum (bread wheat). RNAcentral describes it as "partial small subunit ribosomal RNA". The record is from RNAcentral. Lineage: Eukaryota; Viridiplantae; Streptophyta; Magnoliopsida; Poales; Poaceae.